AUCUAAGGGCCACACUUUAGAUUUCUAUUUACCCUAUCAUUAGACAGAGGAAUGAGCGUACGCUCACUUGCAGUAUCUAUAUAUAAAUACACAAUUGACUAGCAAGUAUUUAGUUGAUCUGAGAUUGUAGAACAUGGCUUGUAUGACUCUACAUCACUAGAAUUGGUGAAUGCAGGUUGCCGAGGCAAAGGUAGACUGGUAGUAUCACUAGUGAGCAUAGCAACUACCGCUGCCAUUGUUGGUCGAUCUUCCAUAUCUUCUUGAACACAUAGCAGACCGAUGUGGACACCUCUGAUCAUUUCAUUUAUGGAACAGGAUUCUUUUAAAGCUGGAUCCAUUAAUUUCAAAGGUGUUCCAUUUCUCCAAUAUCUCCAAGCAAUAUCUAGAAGGCCUUCACCAGAUUCUGAUUUAGAACUGCUGUUUCUCUUGCUGCUUAUAAUCUCUAAAAUCAGGACACCAAAACUGAAAACAUCGGAUUUCACUGAGAAGUUUCCGAAUGUUACAUAUUCCGGAGACAUGUA
RNAcentral lists this unclassified non-coding RNA (521 nucleotides) under Hevea brasiliensis (rubber tree). Lineage: Eukaryota; Viridiplantae; Streptophyta; Magnoliopsida; Malpighiales; Euphorbiaceae. The record is from RNAcentral.